UGCAGAAUCCCGUGAACCAUCGAGUCUUUGAACGCAAGUUGCGCCCAAAGCCGUCAGGCCAAGGGCACGUCUGCCUGGGUGUCACGCAUCGUCGCCCCAAUCAACUCCUCUCCAAAUCGGCGAGGGGUGGGGUCGGACAUUGGCCUCCCGUGUGCUAACCGUAUGCGGCUGGUCAAAAUCAUGGGACCGGACGUUAAGUUUCCGACCAGCGGUGGUUGAACCUCAUGCUCGUGUCGAAUGCUUGACGUCCAAGUGUCCUUGUGGCUCUUCCGAGGCACCUCGGUGACCUCUCCAAACGAGACCCCAGGUCAGGCGGGAUCACCCGCUGAGUUUAAGCAUAUCAAUAAGCGGAGGAAAAGAAACUAACAAGGAUUCCCCUAGUAACGGCGAGCGAACCGGGAGUAGCCCAGCUUGAAAAUCGGUCGCCUUCGGCGUCCGA
Molecule: ribosomal RNA, 439 nt
Filed under: Reseda luteola
Lineage: Eukaryota; Viridiplantae; Streptophyta; Magnoliopsida; Brassicales; Resedaceae
Description: eukaryotic LSU rRNA
Rfam family: Eukaryotic large subunit ribosomal RNA (bases 299-439)
Source: RNAcentral